GACGAACGCUGCGGCGUGCCUAAUACAUGCAAGUCGAGCGAAGUUUUUCUGGUGCUUGCACUAGAAAAACUUAGCGGCGAACGGGUGAGUAACACGUAAAGAACCUGCCUCAUAGACUGGGACAACUAUUGGAAACGAUAGCUAAUACCGGAUAACAGUAUUUCUCGCAUGAGAGAUAUUUAAAAGUUGGUUAUGCUAACACUAUGAGAUGGCUUUGCGGUGCAUUAGCUAGUUGGUGGGGUAAAGGCCCACCAAGGCGACGAUGCAUAGCCGACCUGAGAGGGUGAUCGGCCACACUGGGACUGAGACACGGCCCAGACUCCUACGGGAGGCAGCAGUAGGGAAUCUUCCGCAAUGGGCGAAAGCCUGACGGAGCAACGCCGCGUGAGUGAAGAAGGAUUUCGGUUCGUAAAGCUCUGUUGUUAGGGAAGAAUGGAUAUGUAGUAACUAUACAUGUAAGAGACGGUACCUAACCAGAAAGCC
RNAcentral lists this ribosomal RNA (483 nucleotides) under Gemella morbillorum. RNAcentral's name for it is "bacterial SSU rRNA". It matches the Rfam family "Bacterial small subunit ribosomal RNA", at positions 28 to 492 of the family's 1533-position model. Lineage: Bacteria; Bacillati; Bacillota; Bacilli; Caryophanales; Gemellaceae. The record is from RNAcentral.